This 1532-nucleotide ribosomal RNA is filed under the name Shigella sonnei. RNAcentral's name for it is "partial 23S ribosomal RNA". It matches the Rfam family "Bacterial large subunit ribosomal RNA", at positions 1403 to 2915 of the family's 2925-position model. Lineage: Bacteria; Pseudomonadati; Pseudomonadota; Gammaproteobacteria; Enterobacterales; Enterobacteriaceae. The record is from RNAcentral.
CGAAAGGCGUAGUCGAUGGGAAACAGGUUAAUAUUCCUGUACUUGGUGUUACUGCGAAGGGGGGACGGAGAAGGCUAUGUUGGCCGGGCGACGGUUGUCCCGGUUUAAGCGUGUAGGCUGGUUUUCCAGGCAAAUCCGGAAAAUCAAGGCUGAGGCGUGAUGACGAGGCACUACGGUGCUGAAGCAACAAAUGCCCUGCUUCCAGGAAAAGCCUCUAAGCAUCAGGUAACAUCAAAUCGUACCCCAAACCGACACAGGUGGUCAGGUAGAGAAUACCAAGGCGCUUGAGAGAACUCGGGUGAAGGAACUAGGCAAAAUGGUGCCGUAACUUCGGGAGAAGGCACGCUGAUAUGUAGGUGAAGUCCCUUGCGGAUGGAGCUGAAAUCAGUCGAAGAUACCAGCUGGCUGCAACUGUUUAUUAAAAACACAGCACUGUGCAAACACGAAAGUGGACGUAUACGGUGUGACGCCUGCCCGGUGCCGGAAGGUUAAUUGAUGGGGUCAGCGCAAGCGAAGCUCUUGAUCGAAGCCCCGGUAAACGGCGGCCGUAACUAUAACGGUCCUAAGGUAGCGAAAUUCCUUGUCGGGUAAGUUCCGACCUGCACGAAUGGCGUAAUGAUGGCCAGGCUGUCUCCACCCGAGACUCAGUGAAAUUGAACUCGCUGUGAAGAUGCAGUGUACCCGCGGCAAGACGGAAAGACCCCGUGAACCUUUACUAUAGCUUGACACUGAACAUUGAGCCUUGAUGUGUAGGAUAGGUGGGAGGCUUUGAAGUGUGGACGCCAGUCUGCAUGGAGCCGGCCUUGAAAUACCACCCUUUAAUGUUUGAUGUUCUAACGUGGACCCGUGAUCCGGGUUGCGGACAGUGUCUGGUGGGUAGUUUGACUGGGGCGGUCUCCUCCUAAAGAGUAACGGAGGAGCACGAAGGUUGGCUAAUCCUGGUCGGACAUCAGGAGGUUAGUGCAAUGGCAUAAGCCAGCUUGACUGCGAGCGUGACGGCGCGAGCAGGUGCGAAAGCAGGUCAUAGUGAUCCGGUGGUUCUGAAUGGAAGGGCCAUCGCUCAACGGAUAAAAGGUACUCCGGGGAUAACAGGCUGAUACCGCCCAAGAGUUCAUAUCGACGGCGGUGUUUGGCACCUCGAUGUCGGCUCAUCACAUCCUGGGGCUGAAGUAGGUCCCAAGGGUAUGGCUGUUCGCCAUUUAAAGUGGUACGCGAGCUGGGUUUAGAACGUCGUGAGACAGUUCGGUCCCUAUCUGCCGUGGGCGCUGGAGAACUGAGGGGGGCUGCUCCUAGUACGAGAGGACCGGAGUGGACGCAUCACUGGUGUUCGGGUUGUCAUGCCAAUGGCACUGCCCGGUAGCUAAAUGCGGAAGAGAUAAGUGCUGAAAGCAUCUAAGCACGAAACUUGCCCCGAGAUGAGUUCUCCCUGACCCUUUAAGGGUCCUGAAGGAACGUUGAAGACGACGACGUUGAUAGGCCGGGUGUGUAAGCGCAGCGAUGCGUUGAGCUAACCGGUACUAAUGAACCGUGAG